UCCGGUUGAUCCUGCCGGUCCCGACCGCUAUCGGGGUGGGGCUAAGCCAUGGGAGUCGUACGCCCCGCCGCUGCGGGGCGUGGCGGACGGCUGAGUAACACGUGGCUAACCUACCCUCGGGAGGGGGAUAACACCGGGAAACUGGUGCUAAUCCCCCAUAGAGGAGGGGGCCUGGAAGGGUCCCUCCUCGAAAAGGUGUGGCGGGGGUUAACGCUGCCGCACCGCCCGAGGAUGGGGCUACGGCCCAUUAGGUAGUUGGCGGGGUAACGGCCCGCCAAGCCGAUAAUGGGUAGGGGCCGUGAGAGCGGGAGCCCCCAGAUGGGCACUGAGACAAGGGCCCAGGCCCUACGGGGCGCACCAGGCGCGAAACCUCCGCAAUGCGGGAAACCGUGACGGGGCCACCCCGAGUGCCCCCUUACGGGGGCUUUUCCCCGCUGUAGGAAGGCGGGGGAAUAAGCGGGGGGCAAGUCUGGUGUCAGCCGCCGCGGUAAUACCAGCCCCGCGAGUGGUCGGGACGAUUAUUGGGCCUAAAGCGCCCGUAGCCGGCUCGACAAGUCUCCUCCUAAAUCCUCGGGCCCAACCCGAGGAUUGGAGGAGAUACUGUCGAGCUAGGGGGUGGGAGAGGCCGAGGGUACUCCCGGGGUAGGGGCGAAAUCCUAUAAUCCCGGGAGGACCACCAGUGGCGAAGGCGCUCGGCUGGAACACGCCCGACGGUGAGGGGCGAAAGCCGGGGGAGCGAACCGGAUUAGAUACCCGGGUAGUCCCGGCUGUAAACGAUGCGGGCUAGGUGUUGGGUGGGCCUAGAGCCCACCCAGUGCCGCAGGGAAGCCGUUAAGCCCGCCGCCUGGGGAGUACGGCCGCAAGGCUGAAACUCAAAGGAAUUGGCGGGGGAGCACCACAAGGGGUGGAGCCUGCGGUUCAAUUGGAGUCAACGCCGGG
This 939-nucleotide ribosomal RNA is filed under the name uncultured archaeon. Its description in RNAcentral is "bacterial SSU rRNA". It matches the Rfam family "Archaeal small subunit ribosomal RNA", at positions 1 to 922 of the family's 1478-position model. The record is from RNAcentral.